GUAAUGGAUUGGAUGAGGGAAAACAAGCUCAAGCUGAAUCCAGAUAAAACAGAGCAACUAUCUCAACUCCUGGGGGAUCCUGGACCACAGUUUGAGAACCACAGUGCAGCAACCAAGUCCUGAACCACACCAGAUGACACCCUAAGGGGAGUGGGUUGACAGCACUGCUCCUGAAACUUCUGCCUUUUGGCAAAAAUGGGCUGUGGUAUUCACCUGUGUCCUAUUAAAAUGUGAACAAAUGGUGUGAGUGGGGUGGACCUCAG
This is a long non-coding RNA of Sceloporus undulatus (fence lizard), 263 nucleotides long. RefSeq lists it as uncharacterized. The transcript has 3 exons. The record is from RefSeq and is a predicted model, not a curated record. Lineage: Eukaryota; Metazoa; Chordata; Lepidosauria; Squamata; Phrynosomatidae.